Molecule: ribosomal RNA, 415 nt
Filed under: uncultured bacterium
Lineage: Bacteria
Description: bacterial SSU rRNA
Rfam family: Bacterial small subunit ribosomal RNA
Source: RNAcentral
CACGUAGGUAAUCUACCUUACAGUCUGGAAUAACCUGCCGAAAGGCGGGCUAAUACUGGAUAGAGCGAUGGAAUCCGUAAUUGGGUUUUUCGGGAAAGGGAGCUCGAUAAGAGCCUUCGCUGUAGGAUGAGCCUGCGUCUGAUUAGCUAGUUGGUGGGGUAAAGGCCCACCAAGGCGAUGAUCAGUAGCUGGUCUGAGAGGAUGAUCAGCCACACUGGAACUGAAACACGGUCCAGACUCCUACGGGAGGCAGCAGUGGGGAAUCUUGCGCAAUGGACGAAAGUCUGACGCAGCCACGCCGCGUGAGUGAAGAAGGCCUUCGGGUUGUAAAGCUCUGUGGGGAGGGACGAACCGCUGCACGUUCAUAGCGUGCAGCAUGACGGUACCUCCUUAGCAAGCACCGGCUAACUUCGUG